This 500-nucleotide ribosomal RNA is filed under the name uncultured bacterium. RNAcentral describes it as "partial 16S ribosomal RNA". It matches the Rfam family "Bacterial small subunit ribosomal RNA", at positions 30 to 523 of the family's 1533-position model. The record is from RNAcentral.
AUUGAACGCUGGCGGCAUGCCUUACACAUGCAAGUCGAACGGCAGCACGGGAGCAAUCCUGGUGGCGAGUGGCGAACGGGUGAGUAAAGUAUCGGAACGUGCCCAGUCGUGGGGGAUAACGUAGCGAAAGUUACGCUAAUACCGCAUACGAUCUACGGAUGAAAGCGGGGGAUCGCAAGACCUCGCGCGAUUGGAGCGGCUGAUAUCAGAUUGGGGAGUUGGUGGGGUAAAGGCUCACCAAGCCGACGAUCUGUAGCUGGUCUGAGAGGACGACCAGCCACACUGGGACUGAGACGCGGCCCAGACUCCUACGGGAGGCAGCAGUGGGGAAUUUUGGACAAUGGGCGCAAGCCUGAUCCAGCCAUGCCGCGUGCAGGAUGAAGGCCUUCGGGUUGUAAACUGCUUUUGUACGGAACGAAAAGGUUUGGCCUAAUAAGCUGGACCCAUGACGGUACCGUAAGAAUAAGCACCGGCUAACUACGUGCCAGCCGCCGCCGUAA